AAAUUGAAGAGUUUGAUCAUGGCUCAGAUUGAACGCUGGCGGCAGGCCUAACACAUGCAAGUCGAACGGUAACAGGAAGCAGCUUGCUGCUUCGCUGACGAGUGGCGGACGGGUGAGUAAUGUCUGGGAAACUGCCUGAUGGAGGGGGAUAACUACUGGAAACGGUGGCUAAUACCGCAUAACGUCGCAAGACCAAAGAGGGGGACCUUCGGGCCUCUUGCCAUCAGAUGUGCCCAGAUGGGAUUAGCUUGUUGGUGAGGUAACGGCUCACCAAGGCGACGAUCCCUAGCUGGUCUGAGAGGAUGACCAGCCACACUGGAACUGAGACACGGUCCAGACUCCUACGGGAGGCAGCAGUGGGGAAUAUUGCACAAUGGGCGCAAGCCUGAUGCAGCCAUGCCGCGUGUAUGAAGAAGGCCUUCGGGUUGUAAAGUACUUUCAGCGGGGAGGAAGGUGUUGUGGUUAAUAACCACAGCAAUUGACGUUACUCGCAGAAGAAGCACCGGCUAACUCCGUGCCAGCAGCCGCGGUAAUACGGAGGGUGCAAGCGUUAAUCGGAAUUACUGGGCGUAAAGCGCACGCAGGCGGUCUGUCAAGUCGGAUGUGAAAUCCCCGGGCUCAACCUGGGAACUGCAUUCGAAACUGGCAGGCUUGAGUCUUGUAGAGGGGGGUAGAAUUCCAGGUGUAGCGGUGAAAUGCGUAGAGAUCUGGAGGAAUACCGGUGGCGAAGGCGGCCCCCUGGACAAAGACUGACGCUCAGGUGCGAAAGCGUGGGGAGCAAACAGGAUUAGAUACCCUGGUAGUCCACGCCGUAAACGAUGUCUACUUGGAGGUUGUGCCCUUGAGGCGUGGCUUCCGGAGCUAACGCGUUAAGUAGACCGCCUGGGGAGUACGGCCGCAAGGUUAAAACUCAAAUGAAUUGACGGGGGCCCGCACAAGCGGUGGAGCAUGUGGUUUAAUUCGAUGCAACGCGAAGAACCUUACCUGGUCUUGACAUCCACAGAACUUUCCAGAGAUGGACUGGUGCCUUCGGGAACUGUGAGACAGGUGCUGCAUGGCUGUCGUCAGCUCGUGUUGUGAAAUGUUGGGUUAAGUCCCGCAACGAGCGCAACCCUUAUCCUUUGUUGCCAGCGGUCCGGCCGGGAACUCAAAGGAGACUGCCAGUGAUAAACUGGAGGAAGGUGGGGAUGACGUCAAGUCAUCAUGGCCCUUACGACCAGGGCUACACACGUGCUACAAUGGCGCAUACAAAGAGAAGCGACCUCGCGAGAGCAAGCGGACCUCAUAAAGUGCGUCGUAGUCCGGAUUGGAGUCUGCAACUCGACUCCAUGAAGUCGGAAUCGCUAGUAAUCGUGGAUCAGAAUGCCACGGUGAAUACGUUCCCGGGCCUUGUACACACCGCCCGUCACACCAUGGGAGUGGGUUGCAAAAGAAGUAGGUAGCUUAACCUUCGGGAGGGCGCUUACCACUUUGUGAUUCAUGACUGGGGUGAAGUCGUAACAAGGUAACCGUAGGGGAACCUGCGGUUGGAUCACCUCCUUACCUUAAAGAA
RNAcentral lists this ribosomal RNA (1552 nucleotides) under Salmonella enterica. RNAcentral's name for it is "bacterial SSU rRNA". It matches the Rfam family "Bacterial small subunit ribosomal RNA". Lineage: Bacteria; Pseudomonadati; Pseudomonadota; Gammaproteobacteria; Enterobacterales; Enterobacteriaceae. The record is from RNAcentral.